UCGGCUUUUUUCGCGGGUGCCCUUUAUCUUGAAAUGUAUUUUCUCUACGUGGGAAUAGUAACUGGCCUUUUCGUACGUGCAGAAGGGAUCUGUGAGGGGAAUCAACCUCUGCUUUAUCAUUAAGCUGACCAAUCCUUCAGGAGACGUCAACAGACUGAUUCAAAAUGCCAAGAGAAAUUCACGAGAUCAAGGACCUGCUCCUGACAGCCAGAAGGAAGGAUGCAAAGUCCGUGAAGAUCAAGAAGAACAAGGACUGUGUCAAGUUCAAGGUGCGAUGCAGUCGCUUCCUGUACACCCUGGUCAUCAAAGACACAGAGAAGGCCGAGAAGCUCAAGCAGUCUCUCCCUCCAGGUCUCCAGGUUAAAGAAAUCAAGUGAGGCACCAACCCAAAGGGUGGCGGGAGUGACGUUCUUUGACGCCAACUGUUCAACUUUGACCUUCAACCUUUGGACUGACUUGAAACCAGACAAUUCAACAGCGAGACGCAUUAUGAAGGCAAGUGCACUUGUCGUGGACCCUUCGGAAAUCUGUUGAAGGGACAGUCUUAAACAACACUCCUGAACUUUUUGUUUUGAUGUCUUACGAAGAUGUAUAUAGAAUAAAGUUUCAAGCUAUGGCUUGAAAAACAAAAAAAACGAA
Molecule: long non-coding RNA, 639 nt
Organism: Patiria miniata (bat star)
Lineage: Eukaryota; Metazoa; Echinodermata; Asteroidea; Valvatida; Asterinidae
Exons: 5
Source: RefSeq, a predicted model, not a curated record